This is a non-coding RNA of Podarcis lilfordi (Lilford's wall lizard), 75 nucleotides long. The record is from the annotation of a GenBank genome assembly. NCBI's taxonomy places the organism in Eukaryota, Metazoa, Chordata, Lepidosauria, Squamata, Lacertidae.
GGAAAGGCCAUAGCUCAGUGUUAGAGCAUCUGCUUUGCUUGCAGAGGGUCCCAAGUUCAAUCCCUGGCCUCUCCA